AUUAGCGGCGGACGGGUGAGUAACACGUGAGUAACCUGCCUUAGACAUUGGGAUAGCCUCGGGAAACCGGGAUUAAUACCAAAUAAAAUCAUAAUGACACAUGUCAUAACGAUCAAAACUCCGGUGGUCUAAGAUGGACUCGCGUCCCAUUAGCUAGUUGGUAGAGUAAAAGCCUACCAAGGCGACGAUGGGUAGCCGGCCUGAGAGGGUGAACGGCCACAUUGGAACUGAGAUACGGCCCAG
This 243-nucleotide ribosomal RNA is filed under the name uncultured Eubacteriales bacterium. Its description in RNAcentral is "uncultured Clostridiales bacterium partial 16S ribosomal RNA". It matches the Rfam family "Bacterial small subunit ribosomal RNA", at positions 91 to 334 of the family's 1533-position model. Lineage: Bacteria; Bacillati; Bacillota; Clostridia; Eubacteriales. The record is from RNAcentral.